RNAcentral lists this ribosomal RNA (250 nucleotides) under Exophiala sideris. RNAcentral describes it as "partial 28S ribosomal RNA". It matches the Rfam family "Eukaryotic large subunit ribosomal RNA", at positions 1 to 284 of the family's 3401-position model. The record is from RNAcentral. Lineage: Eukaryota; Fungi; Ascomycota; Eurotiomycetes; Chaetothyriales; Herpotrichiellaceae.
GGUGACCUCGGAUCAGUAGAUCCAUCCGCUGAACUUAAGCAUAUCAAUAAGCGAGGAAAAGAAAACCAACAGGAUUGCCUCAGUAACGCGAGUGAAGCGGCACAGCUCAAAUUGAAUCUGGCUCUUUUGGGGUCGAGUGUAAUUGUAGAGAUGUUCCGGUACCGCCCCCGCCUAAUCUGACAGAUGUCAGAGAGUGAGAUUCCGUCUGACGCGUAGCCAUGUGAACUCUCACAGUCAGUGUUUGGAUGCA